GGAGCGGCCGGGGUGACCGCCGGCGAUCCGCGGAUCGCGGGAGGAAAGUCCGGGCAUCGCGGACCAGGUGCCUGCUAACGGCAGGCGGGGGCGACCCUAGGGAAAGUGCCACAGAAAUGACACGGCCGAUGGCCCCGCUCCGCGGGGCACAGGCAAAGGUGAAAUGGUGCGGUAAGAGCGCACCCACGACAGCCGGGGAACCGGCGGUGCGGUAAACCCCACCCGAUGCAAGGCCGAGCGAACGCGUUUGAGGGAGGUCCGCCCGAGCGUUCAAUGAGCCGCUGGAGGCGGCGGGCAACCGCCGUCGUAGACGAAUGGUCACUGCCUUGGCCGCCCGUCGGCGGGAACGGGCGCCAAGCGUACAGAACCCGGCUUACAAGGCCGCUCCGGUU
This 392-nucleotide RNase P RNA is filed under the name Myxococcales bacterium. RNAcentral's name for it is "RNase P RNA component class A". It matches the Rfam family "Bacterial RNase P class A". Rfam says of the family: Ribonuclease P (RNase P) is a ubiquitous endoribonuclease, found in archaea, bacteria and eukarya as well as chloroplasts and mitochondria. The record is from RNAcentral. Lineage: Bacteria; Pseudomonadati; Myxococcota; Myxococcia; Myxococcales.